GUAAUAAUCAGGUUAGGAAUCUGUCCCUAAAAACUAGCCUAUCCAAGUUCAAAAAUUCUGAGAUGUGCUUCAGAUGACGGAAGCUGAGACACGAGUUUUUAAUAUUUCAAUCGGAUAAGUUUGAGAUUGAUUAUGUUGAUACGGAGGAGGUUCGCUGGUUUGAGAUGAUAGUGAUAGAAGAUUCUAACUCUGAUAAUGAAGAUAUGGGUAGUGACUUGGUUAUUGAGAUGGUCAAAAGGGUGGCGGUGAAAAGAAAGAUGCCAGUUGCUAACUCAAGUCAUCAAAGGGAAGAAAGAGUUGCCGUAUCUCAACAUGCUCUUGCUUCUCUGCAAAGGAAAAUCGUGCUCCUACAUACUUAAGAGCCUGAUCCUACUCCGAACGCGGCCUAUGGAGAAUAGCCUCUGUCAUCCUCAUUUGAUGCCUUCAUUCAUAGUCAAGUCACAGUUGAAGAUAAUUACCAUUUGGCUGGUGCUAUUAGAAAGAGGGUGUACUAUGAAGCUGAUCGAGAACAUCUGUACUGAGAUGUGGAUGAUGAUCUCUUUUUCUGCUCUAUGUCCCUAAGCCUAUAGUCUAUCUCUACUAUGCAUGCUGUAAGGGAGCGAUACUGCUCUGUGGUAAGUUGCAGAUGGCCAACACCAUGCUCAAUACUGAGCUAAAAAAUGGCAAGUCAAGGAUCAAGUUUGUUGAAGAAUUAAAUAGUUCUUUUGGGUUUGAUAAUGCCAUUUUGAAGAACAAAUAAGAGGAGGAUUAUAAAAAAUUGAGGAAUUGAGGAAGAAGGCAAAGGAUCUUCAGUAACAGACGGAUAGUGCUGCCGAUCGUUCUCCUGAUGCAUAUAUCAUCUUCCAAGAGACUGCGGUGAAGGAACUGGAGAAAUGUCAUUCUGGCCAAGACUUUGAGUGGGUGCACAACCUUAUGCCUAGUCAAUCUUUUUUCCCUAGUGCAAAUAAUGAGGAUGAAGAUGGGGAUAGUUUUGAUGAGCUGGAAGCUAUGCUUGGAGAGUCUCAGGGUGAUAGUUAAGCUUUCAUAGUAUUUUGGUAGAAUGCUUUCUUUGUUAUUUGUAAUGGCCUUUUGUGCUAUCUUUUGUAAUAAAUGAACUUUAUCAUGAAUGAAGACUAUUAUUCGGCUUAA
Manihot esculenta (cassava) is the source of this 1128-nucleotide long non-coding RNA. RefSeq lists it as uncharacterized. NCBI's taxonomy places the organism in Eukaryota, Viridiplantae, Streptophyta, Magnoliopsida, Malpighiales, Euphorbiaceae. The transcript is spliced from 2 exons. The record is from RefSeq and is a predicted model, not a curated record.